GCUUCCUACGGGGCGCAGCAGUGGGGAAUAUUGCACAAUGGGGGAAACCCUGAUGCAGCGAUGCCGCGUGGAGGAAGAAGGUUUUCGGAUUGUAAACUCCUUUUAUCAGGGACGAUAAUGACGGUACCUGAAGAAAAAGCUCCGGCUAACUACGUGCCAGCAGCCGCGGUAAUACGUAGGGAGCGAGCGUUGUCCGGAAUUACUGGGUGUAAAGGGUGCGCAGGCGGCGCGGCAAGUCAGAUGUGAAAGCCCGGGGCUCAACCCCGGGACUGCAUUUGAAACUGCCGGGCUAGAGUAUCGGAGAG
This 305-nucleotide ribosomal RNA is filed under the name uncultured bacterium. RNAcentral's name for it is "bacterial SSU rRNA". It matches the Rfam family "Bacterial small subunit ribosomal RNA", at positions 334 to 656 of the family's 1533-position model. The record is from RNAcentral.